Molecule: long non-coding RNA, 2649 nt
Organism: Centrocercus urophasianus (Greater sage-grouse)
Lineage: Eukaryota; Metazoa; Chordata; Aves; Galliformes; Phasianidae
Exons: 3
Source: RefSeq, a predicted model, not a curated record
AUACUGAGCUUCAGGUAAUGCACUGAUUUUCAGCCUGAAGUUUUUCUAAGCUGUACUUGUAUUUCUUUGGUAUAGAUAACACUGUGCAGUUAAGGAUUUGCUCCACAUAAAUGUGCACAUGAUUACACUUGAACUUAAGGCUAAGAUUACCUGCAUCUGAUACAAGGAUAUUCAUGUGAUUCUGUCAAGAACAGCAUCUGCAAUUUGUGGGGAAAAAAAACAGCUGGUUUGUACUAUGUGCUUGAGUGUUAAUUCAUCCUCAGGUGUCAUUCAUCUGCAGAUUUCUGAGUAAAUUCCUUCUUAAACAAUUAAGAUAAGCACUUGUUUGAAAAAAAAGAGAGCAAGAUUAACGUAGCUGACUGGAAAUUGUGAUGUCCUGUGUUUUCAGUAUGGCUCACUGAAGGUAGAGACAGUCACAACAUGAGUAUGUUGUUCUGUAAUACAGAGAGCGAAUGUAGCACAAAUAUCAGACUAUAGUGCAAGUACAGUGUAACACUUGUGGGAGUGUGAAAGGAAUACUUGAAGCAGGUAGGGCUUGUGUGUAGAAGUGUUCACCAUCUGCAGCAACAGUCCUGUCCCAAGUUCUCUUGUAUGCACACUUUUACUGUAUUCCAGAAGAUAAAAUCACAAGCCUUACCAUGAAUAUUUACUCCUUAUAACUUACUUAUAAUUUACUCCUCCCUAAAAGUUCUCCACCUUAGUCAGAUGGACCUCUGUAUUUUCCUCCUUUUGAUAGUGUUCUCUUAAUACCAAAAAGAAGCACCAAAAUUACACGUAGAUCAAGGGAACAAACAAGGAGCAAUGUUCAGAAAUCACACCAUUCCUUGGCUGAGGAUUUAUAAGGAGAUGUAACAGAACAACGAGCCAUGCUUUUAUCAACCAAAUAUGAGCUUUCUUCACAAUUUUGAAGUCUUUUUUAAGAUUCAGCCAUUUUGAAAUCCAGGAAAUGAUCCUGAAGAAUCCCACGCUUACGUUCCUAAGUAUGAACCAUGAGAGCUUCUGAGUGGACUAACUGAAGAAGAUCUGCAGCCAUCAGGGCUUCACACUCAUGCUUUCCACGUAAUCUGCCUUAGAAGUUACCCUUCGCAACAGGACCAGUCUCUAGAUGCUAAGAAUUCCAAGAAUCAUCAAGUCCAACAUCUACUAAAGCAGGACUGAGAGUUUAGCCAGCAAAGUGCAGCCAGGGGCUUGCUGGAGGAUUUUGUCUCAGAAGACCCCAACAAUGAAAAUCUAUUGGGUAAGCGUGAAGAGAGGCUGAGAUACUGCUGCUAUCCAUGUGGGAAGGAGGAGAGCUGAAAGCAGGCUUCUCUUGAGGAUGGAGCCAGUCCCCCAGAAUAUACUGAACUAUACAACAGAGGCCAAAGUAAACAACAUCCAGCAAAAAGUAUUUGCAGGCGUAGAUAAAGCUUAGCUCUUCCCUCCGCACGUAGUAGAUUCUGUCCUCUUGACAGCGAUCCGCUGAGGGUAACCGUGAUAUUUUCUUCAGGUACUGAGGGAACCACUGCUGGCUGGGCUAAGCAGUACAGAUCUGCACCACUGCUGGUGGAGAAGGAAACAUACUGUAUGUUGUCAAAGCUCUCAACGACUCAGAGAUGUUCUCUUCUCAGUGUUUGCUUGCUUCUCAGCAGGGCAGCUGCUGUUACUGCUGCUGAGAGCAGGCUUACAAUUUUUCUUAAGGUAAGAAGAAGGUAUCAACGCGGAAAGGAAGAGUCUAAAAGGCACUUGGACUGCAUUAGUUAAAACUUACUGUGGUAAACUGGGGUUGGUUUGUAUCUCUCACAAAGUCUGUUUGUUUACAAAGGACACUAAGACUUGUCACAUCAUGGCAAUAGGUUCUUCAUGCUUUUUUCCCGACAGCUGAUUGGACAUGUGCAGUCCCUAUGCGGGGGCAGAGGUUAGUGAAGUUUUCUAUAUGGCUUGUAGUUUUUUUUUUUCUCUUCUCUCUACCAUCAGCAAUCUGGCAAACAGCCAUUUGAAACUUCAAGAUUACAGAACACUCUUCUAAAUGUGACCUCUUUUGGGAGAUGGUCUCUCGGGUUGGAAAUAUUCUAUUACUUUCCAAGUUACCAACUGGAAAACAAUGAAACAUCCCUGACCAGUAUUCCUCUAGACACACGGUGAGAAGUCCCCUGUAUGGGCAACCUGCACACAAGGAACCAUUUAUUAAACAAGAUCUCAAAACAGAUGGUUGAAGUCACAGCAAAAUCUGUGCAGAUGAAAGCAGCAAGCCUCAAUUGCAAUGACUCUAACUAGGCUGGCAGGGGAAUUCUCCUAGCUGCAGAACAUUUUCUUGCUGGUCAACCUUGACAGCUCACCAUUGCUUGAGGAAGCAGAGCCAAUCUAUCACUUUUAGCACUUCAGCAGGUGAUUAACCAGCAGCUGAGUCAUCCCUGGCCAGGGCUAGCACAUCCCAAACCAGGGGAGGGGUGGAUUGCUGGGGAAAGGAAGCACAACAAAUCUUCCUCUGCUAAUUCAUGCCAUCUGGAAGUGACAGCCUGUGGGCCUGCAGCUUUAUUUGCAAAAUAUUGUUUACGAUUUUUAUUACAAGGACUAUAGGGAAUAAGACUUAAUUAUAUUUAACAGUUCAUCAUCAUUACACAAACUGUUGUUCAGCAUUCAGCUUCAGAAAACAGGAAGCAAUACUCAUAA